Molecule: long non-coding RNA, 99 nt
Organism: Lontra canadensis (Northern American river otter)
Lineage: Eukaryota; Metazoa; Chordata; Mammalia; Carnivora; Mustelidae
Exons: 3
Source: RefSeq, a predicted model, not a curated record
CUGAUGAUAAAGAGUUGGUUCAUCAUUACAGAUGAACACAGGAUCAUGCCAAACCUGAGCAUUUAAGAAUACCUGAAAAUAUCUGAGAGACAGCGAGAG